GGAUGUGAGGGCGAUCUGGCUGCGACAUCUGUCACCCCAUUGAUCGCCAGGGUUGAUUCGGCUAAUCUGGCUGGCUAGGCGGGUGUCCCUUUCCUCCCUCACCGCUCCAUGUGCGUCCCUCCCGAAGCUGCACGCUCGGUCGAAGAGGACGGCCUUCCCUGAAUAGAGACGGACCGGUCUUCGGUCGUGGCUAUACGAGUAGCUGCGCUCCCCUGCUAGAACCUCCAAACAAGCUCUCAAGAAAGUGGACCGAGAAGGAGAGAUAGCACUACCCUCCCAAUUUGCAUGGUGCUUUCAUGUGGUGAUCAGAGUCUUAU
This is an unclassified non-coding RNA of Erinaceus europaeus (western European hedgehog), 317 nucleotides long. Its record names the gene 7SK. It matches the Rfam family "7SK RNA". Rfam says of the family: 7SK was discovered as an abundant small nuclear RNA in the mid-70s but a possible function has only recently been suggested. Two independent studies have found that 7SK RNA binds the CDK9/cyclin T complex (known as elongation factor P-TEFb). P-TEFb activates transcription by phosphorylating the C-terminal domain of RNA polymerase II. The record is from Ensembl. Lineage: Eukaryota; Metazoa; Chordata; Mammalia; Eulipotyphla; Erinaceidae.